Molecule: ribosomal RNA, 67 nt
Filed under: Culex quinquefasciatus (southern house mosquito)
Lineage: Eukaryota; Metazoa; Arthropoda; Insecta; Diptera; Culicidae
Description: partial 28S ribosomal RNA
Source: RNAcentral
AUAAGAAGAUAAACCCCCCAUGUAGGCCUCAAAUAAUGUGUGACUACCCCCUAAAUUUAAGCAUAAU